Molecule: long non-coding RNA, 277 nt
Filed under: Microcebus murinus (gray mouse lemur)
Lineage: Eukaryota; Metazoa; Chordata; Mammalia; Primates; Cheirogaleidae
Description: lncRNA (ENSMICG00000048674.1)
Source: RNAcentral
GCGGGAGGAAGAACACACAGGAGCUGCCGGACCAGAACAGAAGAACCCCUUGCCUGUAUAUUUAGCUCAUCGAGGAAUAUAAACAGAAACCUGGAGCCGGCUCAACGCCCCCCCUGAAGUCUCCAGGGCCUGGAACUGUGCCUGACACACGGUGGGCCUCAGGGAGGAGCCCUGCAGACAGAGCUGCCUGCCACGCCCCUGCGCGAGGAACACGCAUCCCUUCAGCAAACGCUCCAGCACCCACUCGAGGCCCAGCUCUGCUCUGCACAGACGGGCC